UACGGAGGGUGCGAGCGUUGUCCGGAAUCAUUGGGCGUAAAGGGCGCGUAGGUGGCCCGGUCAGCGUGCGGUGAAAGCUCGGGGCUCAACCCCGAGUCGGCCGUGCGAACUGCUGGGCUUGAGCACUGUAGAGGCAGGCGGAAUUCCGGGUGUAGCGGUGGAAUGCGUAGAUAUCGGUAGGAACACCAGUGGCGAAGGCGGUCUCCUGGGGCAUUCUUGACGCUGAGGCGCGAAAGCUGGGGGAGCGAACGGG
RNAcentral lists this ribosomal RNA (253 nucleotides) under uncultured bacterium. Its description in RNAcentral is "partial 16S ribosomal RNA". It matches the Rfam family "Bacterial small subunit ribosomal RNA", at positions 524 to 776 of the family's 1533-position model. The record is from RNAcentral.